GGGCGUAAGGGCGCGUAGGCGGCUCUCAACGUCGGGGGUGAAAUUCCUGGGCUUAACCUGGGGGCUGCGUUCGAUACGUGCGACCUGAAUUGCGGAAAAGGGUCGUGAAUUUCCCGGUGUACAGGUGAAAUUCGUAGAUAUUGGGAAGAACACCGGUGGCGAAGGCGGCCACCUGGUCCGCAACUGACGCUGAGGCGCGAAAGCGUGGGGAGCAAACAGGAUUAGAUACCCUGGUAGUCCACGCUGUAAACGAUGUGCGCUGGAUGUUGGGGGGCCUAUCCGUUCAGUGUCGUAUCUCACGCGAUAAGCACACCGCCGGGAGAGUACGGCCGCGAGGUUGACUCUCAAAGGAAUUGACGG
RNAcentral lists this ribosomal RNA (360 nucleotides) under uncultured bacterium. RNAcentral describes it as "bacterial SSU rRNA". It matches the Rfam family "Bacterial small subunit ribosomal RNA", at positions 556 to 916 of the family's 1533-position model. The record is from RNAcentral.